GCGUAACUUCAAGUUGUCCAAAUCACACACAGAACCACGCGAGAAUCGAGAUGUCAAAACGCGAGGUUGUCGCCAAGAUGGCCGCUCGUACAGAGACAGUGACUGAUGUAGGUGAAUCUCCUCCCACAACUGGAAAAGAAACAGCAACUUUAAAGCCAUUACAUCAACAUUUCUCAUGAUUGGGACUGAUGUAGGUGAAGCUCCUCCCACAACUGGAAAAGAAACAGCAACUUUAAAGCCAUUACAUCAACAUUUCUCAUGAUUGGGACUGAUGUAGGUGAAGCUCCUCCCACAACUGGAAAAGAAACAGCAACUUUAAAGCCAUUACAUCAACAUUUCUCAUGAUUGGGACUGAUGUAGGUGAAGCUCCUCCCACAACUGGAAAAGAAACAGCAACUUUAAAGCCAUUACAUCAACAUUUCUCAUCAUUGGGGUGAAGCUCCUCCCACAACUGGAUCAGAAACAGCAACAUUUCAUCAACAUUUCUCAUCAACACCUGUUUUUUUUAUCGUAGAAUUUAUGGUCUUUGCACGAUGUAUUUCUUGGGAGAAUUCAACAGUGAUGAGUUUGUUGGACAAUGGAAUUACCACAGCCUGAGAACAGAGGGUGCCGUGAGUGCACUGGCGUUACGAAAUUCUGGCAUGAUAAUUGAGAUAAUUGAUAAUUGAUUAAAAUGUCAAAUAAUGCUGGCAUGAUAAUUGAGAUAAUUGAUAAAAAAAUGUCAAAUAAUGCUUAAAACACAUCAGAAAUAACUGCAUUUAUAAAGGAAAUGUCAGCACUUACCCUGGAAGCUGUUGAGUAAACAUUCCCAGGAAAAGAUGUUCUCUUCUUCAGCCUCUCUGUUGUUACUACCCUCUUGACUCCACUUUACAACAAGGUCUUUAAAAUUCACGCCUUGACAGUGGCUUCUGCGUGUUGGUGAACAGAGGCUUGAAGGCCUUCCAGUUGUUCUCCACUUUCUGCCAAAGUGACCCACAUGAAUUGAUCCCUGCUUUAAACUGUAAGAUCAUGCUGGCAGGCCUAUGAUCAAAUACAAAUUAACCAUUGGCUAAUAAAGAAACAUCAGGUAAUUUAGGUAUUUCUAAAUACAAAAGGAAAUAAUGUGUCAACAGAAAUGUAUCUGUAUUGUUAGCUAUUCCUACCACUAUUAUCUCUUCUUCGUGGACGUUGCUCGGUGGCUUUGGUCAGGGUCACUGAGUGCAGCUAUGACACGUCAGAGGAGAUCUGGGCCCAGUUGCAUAAAGCACCUUAAAUUUUUCCCUUAAGUAUGACACUUAAGGGGUGAUUUUCCUUUACCAAAGACAAUAGGAGAAUAACUUAAGUAAAACUUAAGGACACACUUAAUGGAAAAUUACACUUAAGGUGCUUUAUGCAACCGGGCCCUGGCCCUCCCGGCUGAGCCUGGUUUCUCCCAAGUUUUUUUUUUCUCCAUUAAUUCAUCAUUGGAAGCUUUGGAACAAUGCACAUUGUGAAAAGCGCUAUAUAAAUAAAAUUGAAUUGAACUAUGGAAUAAAUAUUUUCAUAAAAAGGUUUUAUGCAAGAUUUUAUGUUACAAAUGUGCUGCAUGACCUCUUGGACAUUAUAACUUUUUUUGAAAUUGGACACCACUUACAAUAUAGCCAUCAUUCAAGAGCUGCACUCUUGCCCAUAGAAAUAAUGAAUACCUAGACGCCUCAUUGUCCUCUGGAUCACACGUCAACGCCGAGCCAUAUUGGUGAGGGCAAAAGCCGACUACAAAGACGAGUGAAUGGUUGGGCUGCAGUUUUCUGUAUAAAAACACAACAUCGUUUUCAUUUCUCAACUAAUUUCAAUACUUUUCUAUUUACGUGGAGUACAGAAAUGUUUUGGCUCCAGUUAAAGAUGGUUAUAGACUUGAAAAUGUAUUUGUUGUCAUACGGAACUAUUAAAACUCAGGCUUGUCAAUCAAUCAUUUAAGGUACAUCAUGUUUUACUGCUGUAACGGUUUUACCGGAUUAAUUAAAAACAUCUUUUAUCUUUGAAAAUGUCUAAAUAAAUGACUACAGAAAAUCCAUUUCCACAGUGAAAAACGUUAGUUUUAUAUAAUAUGUAAAUGAAAUUAUAUUACCUUGUUUUUUUUCGAUGAUUCUAAUAAAACUCAGAAACCAUUUCUACGUGACUGUUGGGACAACAGAAGUAUCAGGGGAGGUCAAAAGACACUUCUCUACAAAAAGGACCACCUGCAUUUCUACGGCUCCUAAAAUAUAAAGAUUGAAGUUUGUAUUUUUCUCUCAUGCUGUAAUAUAUAGGACCUAAUCCAGAUGUUAACGUUGCAUUUUGUUGUCUUCUGAUAAUAUAUAUUUACAUGAAUGAUUUAUAUAUUUUAUUUCCUUCUCCUCGUGUUAAUGGUGCCACGUGAAGCCUCACCACGAAAGUUCCGUGUGAAUUGGAAUGCUGGUCUCAAUUGUGUUGCUGAUCUCGUUAAUUUGAGG
Molecule: long non-coding RNA, 2450 nt
Organism: Triplophysa rosa
Lineage: Eukaryota; Metazoa; Chordata; Actinopteri; Cypriniformes; Nemacheilidae
Exons: 6
Source: RefSeq, a predicted model, not a curated record